GGAGGGGUGGCAGAGUGGUCGAAUGCGGCGGUCUUGAAAACCGUUAAGGCGUAUGCCUUCGGGGGUUCGAAUCCCUCCCCCUCCGCCA
This 88-nucleotide transfer RNA is filed under the name Candidatus Omnitrophota bacterium. Its description in RNAcentral is "tRNA-Ser". It matches the Rfam family "tRNA". Rfam says of the family: Transfer RNA (tRNA) molecules are approximately 80 nucleotides in length. Their secondary structure includes four short double-helical elements and three loops (D, anti-codon, and T loops). The record is from RNAcentral. Lineage: Bacteria; Pseudomonadati; Candidatus Omnitrophota.